UCCUCCUCUUUUACGUCCUUGUCCAAGCCACCAACAAACACUUCAAACUCCUUGCGUUUACGCCUCUCUUUAACAACUUCAUGAUGCUCAUCCUCAUCGGCAUCAACCAUGCCAGCGUGCUCAUGGUCUUCACCACCUUGCUGAUCAUCAUCCUCCCCCUCAAGAUCCUCCUGAGCAUCCUCAACAUCCUCUUCAACCAUAUCACCUUCCUCAUCCCCCACAUUGUCCUCAGGCUCCCCCUCCCCAUCUACCACUUCCUGAACAUCCUCCUGUUCAAUUUCUUUUUCAUCAUACUCAAACCCUCCAUCCUCAUCAGGUUCUGAUUCGGGAUCGUUAUCUUCGAGAUCCAAGCGCUCGUCCUUCCCAUAUUCUUCAUCCUUUACUUCUUCUUCUU
RNAcentral lists this long non-coding RNA (394 nucleotides) under Cucumis sativus (cucumber). RNAcentral describes it as "long non-coding RNA (CSAT_LNC000925)". The record is from RNAcentral. Lineage: Eukaryota; Viridiplantae; Streptophyta; Magnoliopsida; Cucurbitales; Cucurbitaceae.